Molecule: ribosomal RNA, 429 nt
Filed under: Gemmatimonadota bacterium
Lineage: Bacteria; Pseudomonadati; Gemmatimonadota
Description: Gemmatimonadetes bacterium partial 16S ribosomal RNA
Rfam family: Bacterial small subunit ribosomal RNA
Source: RNAcentral
UAGGGAAUCUUCGGCAAUGGACGAAAGUCUGACCGAGCAACGCCGCGUGAGUGAAGAAGGUUUUCGGAUCGUAAAACUCUGUUGUUAGAGAAGAACAAGGACGUUAGUAACUGAACGUCCCCUGACGGUAUCUAACCAGAAAGCCACGGCUAACUACGUGCCAGCAGACGCGGUAAUACGUAGGUGGCAAGCGUUGUCCGGAUUUAUUGGGCGUAAAGCGAGCGCAGGCGGUUUCUUAAGUCUGAUGUGAAAGCCCCCGGCUCAACCGGGGAGGGUCAUUGGAAACGGGGAGACUUGAGUGCAGAAGAGGAGAGUGGAAUUCCAUGUGUAGCGGUGAAAUGCGUAGAUAUAGGGAGGAACACCAGUGGCGAAGGCGGCUCUCUGGUCUGUAACUGACGCUGAGGCUCGAAAGCGUGGGGAGCAAACAGG